RNAcentral lists this ribosomal RNA (468 nucleotides) under uncultured bacterium. RNAcentral describes it as "partial 16S ribosomal RNA". It matches the Rfam family "Bacterial small subunit ribosomal RNA", at positions 28 to 507 of the family's 1533-position model. The record is from RNAcentral.
GACGAACGCUGGCGGCGUGCUUAACACAUGCAAGUCGAACGGAAAGGCCCUGCUUUUGUGGGGUGCUCGGGCGGCGAACGGGUGAGUAACACGUGAGUAACCUGCCCUUGACUUUGGGAUAACUUCAGGAAACUGGGGCUAAUACCGGAUAGGAGCUCCUGCUGCAUGGGGGGGGUUGGAAAGUUUCGGCGGUUGGGGAUGGACUCGCGGCUUAUCAGCUUGUUGGUGGGGUAGUGGCUUACCAAGGCUUUGACGGGUAGCCGGCCUGAGAGGGUGACCGGCCACAUUGGGACUGAGAUACGGCCCAGACUCCUACGGGAGGCAGCAGUGGGGAAUAUUGCACAAUGGGCGGAAGCCUGAUGCAGCAACGCCGCGUGCGGGAUGACGGCCUUCGGGUUGUAAACCGCUUUCGCCUGUGACGAAGCGUGAGUGACGGUAAUGGGUAAAGAAGCACCGGCUAACUACGUG